This 1523-nucleotide ribosomal RNA is filed under the name uncultured Mycoplasma sp. RNAcentral's name for it is "partial 23S ribosomal RNA". It matches the Rfam family "Bacterial large subunit ribosomal RNA", at positions 465 to 2006 of the family's 2925-position model. Lineage: Bacteria; Bacillati; Mycoplasmatota; Mollicutes; Mycoplasmatales; Mycoplasmataceae. The record is from RNAcentral.
CCUAAAUACUAACCAUUUACCGAUAGUGAAUAAGUACUGUGAAGGAAAGAUGAAAAGAACCCAGAGAUGGGAGUGAAAUAGACCAUGAAACCUUUUGCUUACGAAGAGUCAUAGGCCAUUUAUGGCUAAUGGCGUGCGUUUUGAAGUAUGAGCCGGCGAGUUAUUGUUGCAUGCGAGGUUAAGCAAUCAAAAGCGGAGCCGUAGCGAAAGCGAGUGUGAAUAGUGCGUUUAGUAUGUGGCAACAGACCCGAAACGGGAUGAGCUAUCCAUGGGCAGGUUGAAGGUGGAGUAAUAUCUACUGGAGGACCGAACCGACUGCCGUUGAAAUGUUAGCGGAUGACUUGUGGAUAGGGGUGAAAUUCCAAUCGAAUUCCGUGAUAGCUGGUUCUCGUCGAAAUAGUUUUAGGACUAGCGUUGGAUUAUUGAUAUCUUGGAGGUAAAGCACUGAAUUCCUGAUGGCGCAAUCUUUGUGUACUGAAUGAAAUUAAACUUUGAAUGCCAAUUUGUCUAUUCCAGCAGUGAGACUAUGGGGGAUAAGCUCCAUGGUCGCGAGGGAAAGAGCCCAGACUAACAAAUAAGGUCCCUAAAUUUAGCUAAGUGGAGAAGGAAGUCAAAAUUCUUAAACAACUAGUAUGUUGGCUUAGAAGCAGCCACCAUUUAAAGAGUGCGUAAUAGCUCACUAGUCUAGUUUUUUGGCACCGAAGGUAUAACGGGGCUAAGCUAAAUACCGAAUUUUUAGACUAUUUUUAAUAGUGGUAGACGAGUGUUGUAUAUUCGAUGAAGGUUGAGCGUGAGUACAACUGGAGUUUAUACAAGUAAGAAUGCCGGCGUGAGUAACGUAUGAAAGUUAAAAUCUUUCUAGCCGAUUGAUCAAGGUUUCCAGGGCAAGGGUCAUCCUCCCUGGGUUAGUCGGUCCUAAGAUGAGGCCGAAAGGCGUAGUCGAUGGGCAGCGAGUUAAUAUUCUUGCACCAGUUUAGUUAGUGAUGGGUUGACAGAAGAGGUUAAUGCGGGCGGAUUACUGGAUUUCCGCUUAAGUUGUAACUGUUUCAGGUAGUUAAAUGCGCCUGAUUUUCGCGGGAGCAACGAAUACGAGUGAACCCUACGGGUAGUAGCGAAGCCGCAAACAUCAUAUUCUCAAGAAAAGACUCUAAACUUAUAGCUAAUCUGUCCGUACCGAGAACGAACACACGUGAUCAAGGAGAAAAUCCUAAGGCUAUCGAGAUAACUACAGUUAAGGAACUCUGCAAAAUAGCCCCGUAACUUCGGGAGAAGGGGUGCCUAAUUUGCUUUAGGCCACAGUAAAGAAUGAGGGGGGACUGUUUAACAAAAACAUAGCUUUAUGCGAAAUCGUAAGAUUAGGUAUAUGAGGCGACACCUGCCCAGUGCCAGAAGGUCAAUGAAGGAUGUUAGCUUUUGCGAAGCAUUUAACUUAAGCCCUGGUGAACGGCGGCCGUAACUAUAACGGUCCUAAGGUAGCGAAAUUCCUUGUCAGGUAAAUUCUGUCCCGCUUGAAUGGUGUAACC